This 253-nucleotide ribosomal RNA is filed under the name uncultured bacterium. RNAcentral's name for it is "partial 16S ribosomal RNA". It matches the Rfam family "Bacterial small subunit ribosomal RNA", at positions 524 to 776 of the family's 1533-position model. The record is from RNAcentral.
UACAGAGGUCUCAAGCGUUGUUCGGAUUCAUUGGGCGUAAAGGGUGCGUAGGCGGCGCGGUAAGUCGGGUGUGAAAUUUCGAGGCUUAACUUCGAAACUGCAUUCGAUACUGCCGUGCUUGAGGACUGGAGAGGAGACUGGAAUUUACGGUGUAGCGGUGAAAUGCGUAGAUAUCGUAAGGAAGACCAGUGGCGAAGGCGACUUCCUGGCCUGUUCUUGACGCUGAGGCGCGAAAGCUAGGGGAGCAAACGGG